CCAUCAGCAUCGUCAUCGGCAAUCAGCAAUCAUCGAAGCCAUCAAAAGGCAACUAGUUCUAACUUUCGACGACGACAUUGACCUCGAGUACGCAGACGGCGGCGGUGGCAGCGGCAGCGGCGACGGCAACGACCACGAAGAUAACCUCACAAUCGCGGCAGAGGUCGAUGGUGGUGGUGGCAGUACGCUAAGCGCUACCUCGAAGGAAAAACUUGCGAUAACGUUUUCCACCGCCGCCGCCGCCACCGCCGUGUGCGAGCAACUGGUCGAUGAAAACGCCGGUGACUCGCCGCGCACACUGAGCGAGCGGAAGAGCGAAACGGCCAGUUUCACAACGCAUCCGGUCACCGCUAUCGAUCCGGACCAUCCUGGUUCGGCACUCGGCUCCGCACUGAAGAGCCAAACAACAGACAACGGCGACGGUGACACCGUUCCGGGUGCUGCGACGAGCGGUGAACCCAGGGGUGGUGGCAGCUGCGACGGAACUACUUGUACAACCGAGAAGCCAGAGAGGCGCGACGAAGCUGAAGCAGCCGAAGAAGCCGUCUCCUGUUCCACGGCGGAAUCCACCGACGGUUCCGACGCCGGCCCUCCGGAAACCAGCACCGACGAUCUAACUAUGCCCGUCCGCGUUGACAUUGUGCCGCCUCCACCCAACAACUCCAAGCAGCUGGGGGUCACAAAAUCGCUGCUGUACAAUGGCUCCAAAUUUCGCGGGUAUCAAAAGUCCAAAGGCAACGCAUACGAGGUGGAGGUAGUGCUACAGCACGUCGACGAAGCCAACUCGUACCUCUGCGGGUACCUGAAGAUUACUGGCCUAACGUUCGAGUUCCCCACCCUGACUACGUUUUUCGACGGGGAAAUCAUCUCAAAGAAAUAUCCCUUCCUCACACGCAAAUGGGAUGCCGACGAAGACGUAGAUAGGAAGCACUUUGGUAAGUUUGCCGCGUUCAGCGAUUAUCAAAAGACGUUCAACUCGGACGACUUUGACUACGAUGCGCUGGAGAAGAGUGACUUUGUUUUCAUGCGUUGGAAGGAACAUUUUUUGGUACCUGAUCACAAGAUAAAAGACAUCAACGGAGCAUCGUUUGCCGGGUUUUAUUAUAUUUGCUUCCAAAAGUCGCGCGCCGUUAUGGAGGGCUAUUAUUACCAUCGAUCAUCGGAAUGGUAUCAGUCUCUCACCCUUCAGCAUGUGGCCGAGUCGUGCAUUCAGAUCUAUGAAUUCCGAUAAGUUUUCAACGACUGCGCGUGGGCAUAGGUGGCGUUUAAGUUCGAACAAAAAAAACUAUGAUGCAUCGCUAGCCAUUUUUCCACCCUAGGACUGUCAUUACCAUGGUCCAUUUUCUGCGGCAUCAAAAGAUGGCAUGACACAAACACAUUUACAUAGAACAAAAUGUGUAACUUACAUGCAUCCCUUGUGUUACUGCGAUACACUUCAAACUGAUUGCUCUUAUGUGGUAUGAAAACGUCUCAUGAAUGCAGCAAACCCGACCAUCUCUAAUCGUCACAGCUCGCUCGAUACGAUCAAACGUACAAUACUCAAAUGCAGUUGUUUAAGCGGUGGUGAUGCAAUAUUCUUAAGGUCUGCCAGUAACAAUUUCCUUUGGAUGCGGAAAUACGCCUUGAAUGCCACCACGGAUAAGCAAAUGCAAAAACGGCGUCAUUAUUUCCACUAUCACUUGCAAUAUGCGUUAAGAAUGUAGGGUCGGGGUCAUGUUGAAUAUUCGAUGAUGUAUGUUCUGAUAAGCGUAGCGAUAGCUAGGUGUCGUUCUGCUGGUUUAAGCGUUUCCACGCAAACAAACUUCUAGGUGCGUUUUUUAAAUUGUGUACUUUACGAUGGCGAUGUAUGUUAAUCUAUAUGAUACACACAAUUGUGGAAGCCACUAGUAAACAUCGAUUUUGUUUUAUUUGUAACUGUGUUCUAUUUUUUUUAUUGGGUGUUUCUAUUGUUUGACACACCGUAAACAAAACACAACCGGACCAACUUUGGAUAGUUGUUCGAGCCUUAAACUUUGUAUAUAUUGUAUAAACGUCCGUUGCGCCCGCCGCACCACCAAUGCCGUUAUCAACAUCAACAGCUCACCUUAGAACAAUCAUCCGUUGUCUUAUUUGUUGCAAUCCACUGAAUAUUUUCAUGCAAAAACAACAGACAACGAACUGGAUCGCGGUGAAUGGCGCAGUGACUCCUGGCAAUAACUGCUGGCUGCUGCUGGCCACUAAAACGACAACAAUCGAGUGAAAGAAGCAAACUGAAAGACCUACGAAACAUCCAUAUAAAAUAUCAAAAGUUGAUACCAGAUGUCAACGCCAACGGUUACGGCGGCUCCUUCUUCAAUUUAGAAGAAAAUGGGCCGAUGAUAUCGUCAGUCCCAAAAUGCGCACCAAACAGUCCCUCGUUUCGGGUGCAUUCGCUUCUCUUGCCCGACGUGUGGGCUUUCCGAAUCCCAAAAACGACAAUUAUGCUUAUCAAUAUAGCCACCGAGGCGGAAAUAAGCCUCAAUGAAAUGUGCUUUUCAAAUAUCGUACCGUUUGCGUUGAAGACCUAGCACUUUGGAAAUAAGUUUACCAUAUUUCCCAACUUUCUGCAACCGAAAUU
Molecule: RNA transcript, 2596 nt
Organism: Anopheles cruzii
Lineage: Eukaryota; Metazoa; Arthropoda; Insecta; Diptera; Culicidae
Gene name: glucose-induced degradation protein 4 homolog
Exons: 6
Source: RefSeq, a predicted model, not a curated record